Long non-coding RNA from Corvus hawaiiensis (hawaiian crow), 3893 nucleotides. RefSeq lists it as uncharacterized. The transcript has 3 exons. Lineage: Eukaryota; Metazoa; Chordata; Aves; Passeriformes; Corvidae. The record is from RefSeq and is a predicted model, not a curated record.
UCAAGAUUCCUGGGUGCCAGGACGAUCACUCCCUUCCCCUGAUGGCCUUGAACGUUCCAGGCAGGCAGCCAAGCAGGUGUUGUUGACAACCCUGCCACAGCACAGGGGAGCCGGACAGCACCCAGAGCACUGGCCAGAAAAUCCAGCAGUUACAAGCCCGAAGUGGGAACCUGGACCAGAAAUGUGACCUCAACCCCUCACUGGUGGCAAGGGACACCUCUGUCAUCAUCUGCUUCCUCUGAGGACUGAGACAAUAUGAAAUACCACUGCAAAGAACUCUCAAUUUCCCUUCUGUGCUUUAAUGCAGCCAUGGUGAUGACUCCAUUUUCAAUGACAAAAUUACUCGAGAAUUCUCCAAGCAGAAUACUUAUCUUCUGCCCUACAGACAGGGAGAGACUACUGAAGUGUCUGUCUGACCUCUUCCAAGAGAAUCCAGCACACGACAGCUACAAACAGAAGAGCUCUUCUGCAGGACAGGAUCUAUGGCCUGGCUCCAGUUGGAACGGACAAAAUGCAUGGAGCACGUGCAGCUGGAGGCACCUCAUGUUAGAUGGUGAGCUAAGAGCCAUUUUGAAGAGCCCUCUGAGCACAGGUGAGCUGUCCUGCACAGAGCCCUCCCAGCACAGGUGAGCUGUCCCACUGAGUCAGUCCAAGGCCACAAGGCUCCCAAGGAAAUCCCAGCCUCAAUCAAGCAUUACCAUGCACACACCCACCUAAACCUGCCUGCCUUUGCAUGAUGGAUGCAAGCAGGUGUAUCUGACAAACAUGGUGCUCACAAACACAUUCUUCAGUCUAGACACUUCUUUGCUCUGUCCUAGGCUCAAAUCAGUUAGCCACAUUAACACUAUGUAAAUCAUGGGUUUAAGAUACUAAGCAUUAUGAUUUGGCAAUCAGGAAUGUUUUUGCUUCAGUGAACUCCAAGAGAAACAUAACAGCAACGAACUUGGGAAUAAAAAGCUGUAGCUUUAUAAAAGAAUGACAAAAUGCAAUUUUUUAUUGGAACUUAAGAUCUUAACUAGGAAUUUUGCUUCCUGAGACAGCUAGGGAAGUUCUGAGUUACACGGCCACCAAAAAUUAUUUUAAAAAUUGUUUCUUAGUCCGCCUGGCAUUUUUGACUUUUGAGGUAUGUGUAACUCUUCUUGAUGUAGUGUCAUUUUGCAAACACUUCUUGAUAAGCUUUGAGGAGCAAAGUGAAAUAUGAUCUUUGCCACAACUGCUAGUAACAAUCUUUCAAGUGAGAAUUGUAAAAUUGACCAUUAGGACAGUUUUAUGCUGUUCUUCAGAACACCUAUGAGAAAGUAGGGGAUUUUAUUGAUACUAAGUUGAGUAGAUCUGCCAGCUUCAGAGGAAAGGACACUGCAGCAGACUUCUUCACUCUGCACCCAGUAGAGCCAAAGGUAAACAUUUUACUUAACAGCAGUCAAAUAUUAGGACUAAAGUGUAUUGGGAAAAAAAAAGACAGAAGCUAAUAGCCCUUACUGGCCUCUUGCUAGUAAAGCCAUGAACCAGCCUUCUCAGAUUUCACUUGGUAAACACUUAAUAAGGAAGACAUCAUUUUAAUUUAGAGCAAUUCCUUUUCCAAAUAGCAUAAACUAUAUAAAACAGCAAAAUAAUCCUGUUUUAUCACCAGAUCUGUAGUGAUUUGGCUGUUUGCAUGUCAAUAUGGUUGAAAAGAGAGUUAUAAAUGUGCAUAUUGAGCAUGGGAUACAUGUACAAUGUAAGGAUAGGAUAAUUACUCUAAGUUGUAGUCUCCUAAGUUUUGUCAGUGUAGCAGCUUCCAAAGUUUACAGUGCUCUUAUAAGAAACACAAAAUGGUAUCCACAGCUGAAGUCUUUAACUAGUGAACUUCCUUCGAGGUUAAGUACAGAUUAGUGUUUUUCUUGGGGGGGCUCAGGUCAGGCCUAGCAGAGAACCCUAAUGGGGCAGAAGGAAAAAAAAAGAAAAUGUUUCUUUCACCAACCCAAAAUUUUGCUCACAACUCACUUAAAGGAGUUGCACAUAGGAAGGUUUGAGGAACUCUUUAUACAACAUCUGCCUACUGCAAAUCCAUACCCCUGUACUAUCCCCAUUGUUUACACAUUAAUGAUAUCAUCCUAUUCCCCAUCCCAUCAUCACUCCCCCCUCAAUUUCUCUCUUUAUUCAACUGCUUGACAUCUAAGCCUCUAUAAUUCAUCUGUUAUGGAAGAGGGCACUAUCACCUCUAUCUUCUCAAAACAAUGUCCUCACCAUUAGAAGAAAUAUAAACAACUGAAUGAAAGAUUGUACAUCUUGGGAAAAAAAGCCAGCAACUGCUGUCAGCUAAAUGUUACUGCAACACAGCCACCUCCAGCGAAAAUCAACUGCUAUAACUGAUCUGGUUAUGUAGGUCAACAAAGUUACUAAUUCAAAGAUAAAGUGAGUCACAGUCAUGUUAACAUACACUCUUAAUACACUUUACAAAAGCCAAUGCUUCACAAAAGACAUAUUUCUGAAAGGUCAGAAUGUUCUCAUCCAUAUUUUGAAAGAACGUGCAAAAUAUGCAUGAAUACUAUGAGCUGUUGUUCACCCUCAAGCUCCCAAUACCAGAUACAAACACAGCUGUAGCUGUCAGGGCUUCAACCAUCAAUAAAAACCACCAGAUUUUUAAAUAUGUGAGACCUCAAGAAUUUUAAAAGAGGAAGCUUGGUGGCUUAUACACUAUUAUGUAAUUAAAGUGAAACACAAAAUGUUCUUACAGCCUUUCCCACCUAAUGAAUUCCAUAGGUGAUUCUAUACUGUGGAUGAGUGCACAAGACAGGUGACCAGAUGUUCACUCUAUCAAAUGAGCCAAGAUCACUUCUUUGCCUAUCAAUCCUUGCACGUCAGAAAUAAUCAUCCUGUCUAACAAGGUUUGUUUCUGUUCCCUCCCUGCCCCAAGACAGUCCUUUUAUCCAAAAAAAGUAAGUGCAAAAACACUUAAAUUGCUCUGACAACAAGAACUAUGGAUUUGUGAACAAGAAAAAGUAAUUUCUGGUUUUAAGAGGGCAAAGCAUUCUAACUACUUAAAUAUUAGUUUUCCUGAAAAAGGUUUUUACUAAGUAUACAGCAUUAAUAUACCUUUGGAAUUUUCUAAAAGUUACAACAAAGACAAUGUAAGACUUUAUUCUGCACCUGAAAACCUAGGUUUCCUUUAAUAGUUUAUAAUACAAAUACCAUGACAAACCCAGAUCUACACAAUGAGCAGUCAAUUCUUAUCUUUUUGGUCAAAUCUUUGUUUCUGAAAUAACUGCACUAGAAUCAAAUGAUUCUAAUUAUAGCAAACUCUUACCUCCAGCAUUAUGUCCUCUCCUGGAGAAGUACUUGGGUAUCAGGAAUUAAGGGUCUUGUUUAAUCAGCUAAAACAACCAGGCCUUGCUUAUGAUUUAAUAAAGUCAGUUCAAGCCAUGGAAGAGCUUACUCAAACAACAUGAAAAUUCCAUGAAUGCAUGCUCAGCCCUAAUCACAGAAACACAGACACUUAAAAAAGUACAGACCCUUGACACCUGCCCAUUGCAACAGUGACAAGCCUCUGAAGAUCCUGGCCUACAUUUCUGAAAGAACGCUACUUCCUUGUUUAUCAGGCAAAAAACACCUAAAAAUGGUGAUUUUUUUUUUUUUUUUUAACAUGGGUUAAGAGAACACUAACUUCGCAAACAAAACAAAUGACGUCAUAACAAACCCUAUUACGCACAGAAAUAGAAACUCAUUUCCCUAAGGGGAAAAUUUGUGACAAAUUUGUGACAAAACCCCAGAGAGUGCUGCGGCUGCCCGCAGUGAAGACACUGCUUUGUGCGUCAAUGAGGCGCUGAAUAAAAAAGGAAAAAUACAUUCUGCGUGAAGUUCCCACCCGCCGCACAGCCCCGCCGGUCACCGCUGCCGUCAGGGCGCAGGGCGGG